GUUGUUGUUUCCCGUUGCGUUAUCACGUUCGCUUUACACGCGAAAGGUCCCCGGUUCGGUCCCGGGCGGAACCA
Non-coding RNA from Cordylochernes scorpioides, 74 nucleotides. NCBI's taxonomy places the organism in Eukaryota, Metazoa, Arthropoda, Arachnida, Pseudoscorpiones, Chernetidae. The record is from the annotation of a GenBank genome assembly.